GUUCACUGUCCCUGUCAUCCUCCUGAAAGCUUUUUGGUUGUUGUUCAUUCUCCUGCAGGCCAGCCUGUGGAUGAAUUUCUGCGUAAGUCAUGGAACAGAUGUAGGCCCAGCUAUUCCACUGAAGAUUUUCUAGCAUUUCCCCAGUCCCAGGACCAGCAUAUGGCAGAGCAGAGAAGCAGCUCUAUGAUCCAAAAUAUAAACUGAGAGAUCAUCCCAGUAACUAUUU
RNAcentral lists this long non-coding RNA (226 nucleotides) under Rhinopithecus bieti (black snub-nosed monkey). RNAcentral's name for it is "lncRNA (ENSRBIG00000046242.1)". The record is from RNAcentral. Lineage: Eukaryota; Metazoa; Chordata; Mammalia; Primates; Cercopithecidae.